Long non-coding RNA from Lolium perenne, 497 nucleotides. RefSeq lists it as uncharacterized. The record is from RefSeq and is a predicted model, not a curated record. Lineage: Eukaryota; Viridiplantae; Streptophyta; Magnoliopsida; Poales; Poaceae.
AAUACUGAGGAAAGUCGUAUAAAUUAUUUUAAUACUUCAAGGAGCACCAUGAUGAUACCACAAGAUUAACAGGAACUAAAAAAUCCUCUAGCUGUGGAAGGGGCAGUUCUAGCCAGAAUACUACAAAGGCGGCUCUGACACCCUCUUCAUCUGAGAAAUCAGAAGAAGACAAUGUUCGAGAAUACAAAUCUUUUGAGUCACAUGCUCAUCCAACACCUCCAGAAGCUGAUUAUGGGGUAAUAUUUAGGAGCUGUCUAUCUGGAGCACAGAUGGAGAAAGUAAACCCUCUUAUCCAGAAGAUUCAACCAGAAGCUAUUGUAUUCGUAGCUACCAUGAGGAACUGCGAUGUUCAACUACCUUGUCCUCUUCUGAUCAUUUCGAAGGAACGCGCCUUAGCCACAGCUGCACACUUUCCGGAUGAAAAUGGGACUGUCACACUUCAGGUGCUGGGCAAGAGUGAGAAGUGGCGGCCGAGAUUCUUCAUAGAAAAAGGCACG